Molecule: long non-coding RNA, 570 nt
Filed under: Rattus norvegicus (Norway rat)
Lineage: Eukaryota; Metazoa; Chordata; Mammalia; Rodentia; Muridae
Description: long non-coding RNA NONRATT000072
Source: RNAcentral
AGAGAUGGAGAAAGCAAGAUAUUCCAUGACAAAACCAAAUUUACACAAUAUCUUUCUACAAAUCCAGCACUACAAAGGAUAAUAAAUGGUAAAGCCCAACAUAAGGAGGCAGCUAUACCCUAGAAGAAGCAAGAAACUAAUCGUCUUGGCAACAAAACAAAGAGAAGAAAAGCACACAAACAUAACCUCAUAUCCAAAUAUGAAUAUAACAGGAAGCAAUAAUCACUAUUCCUUAAUAUCUCUCACCAUCAACUCCCCAAUAAAAAGACAUAGAUUAACAAACUGGAUACGCAACGAGGACCCUGCAUUCUGCUGCCUACAGGAAACACUCCUCAGAGACAAAGACAGACACUACCUCAGAGUGAAAGGCUGGAAACCAACUUUCCAAGCAAAUGGUCAGAAGAAGCAAGCUGGAGUAGCCAUUCUAAUAUCAAAUAAAAUCAAUUUUGUACUAAAAGUCAUCAAAAAAGAUAAGGAAGGACACUUCAUAUUCAUCAAAGGAAAAAUCCACCAAGAUGAAUUCUCAAUCCUAAAUAUCUAAGCCCCAAAUACAAGGGCACCUACAUAUAU